AAUAUUGGACAAUGGGGGCAACCCUGAUCCAGCCAUGCCGCGUGAGUGAAGAAGGUUUUCGGAUCGUAAAACUCUGUUGUUAGAGAAGAACAAGGAUGAGCGUAACUACUCAUCCCCUGACGGUAUCUAACCAGAAAGCCAUGGCUAACUACGUGCCAGCAGCCGCGGUAAUACGUAGAUGGCAAGCGUUGUCCGGAUUUAUUGGGCGUAAAGCGAGCGCAGGCGGUUCUUUAAGGCUGAUGUGAAAGCCCCCAGCUCAACUGGGGAAGGUCAUUGGAAACUGGGGAACUUGAGUGCAGAAGAGGAGAGUGGAAUUCCACGUGUAGCGGUGAAAUGCGUAGAUAUGUGGAGGAACACCAGUGGCGAAGGCGACUCUCUGGUCUGUAACUGACGCUGAGGCUCGAAAGCGUGGGGAGCAAAC
RNAcentral lists this ribosomal RNA (421 nucleotides) under uncultured bacterium. RNAcentral's name for it is "partial 16S ribosomal RNA". It matches the Rfam family "Bacterial small subunit ribosomal RNA", at positions 360 to 773 of the family's 1533-position model. The record is from RNAcentral.